This 536-nucleotide ribosomal RNA is filed under the name Methylobacterium sp. CAJ1-2. RNAcentral describes it as "bacterial SSU rRNA". It matches the Rfam family "Bacterial small subunit ribosomal RNA", at positions 129 to 698 of the family's 1533-position model. Lineage: Bacteria; Pseudomonadati; Pseudomonadota; Alphaproteobacteria; Hyphomicrobiales; Methylobacteriaceae. The record is from RNAcentral.
CCCUUCGGUUCGGAAUAACUCAGGGAAACUUGAGCUAAUACCGGAUACGCCCUUAUGGGGAAAGGCUUGACUGCCAAAGGAUCGGCCCCCGCCUGAUUAGCUAGUUGGGGAGGUUAUGGUUCACCAAGGCGACAAUCAUUAGCUGGCCUGAAAGAAUGAUCACCCCCACUGGGACUAAAACACGGCCCAAACUCCUACGGGAGGCGGCGGGGGGGAAUAUGGAACAAGGGGGGCAACCCUGAUCCACCCUUGCCCCGGGAGUGAUAACGGCCUUAGGGUGGUAAAGUUCUUUUCUCCGGGACAAUAUUGACGGUCCCGAAGAAAUAAGCCCCGGUUAACUUCUGGCCACCACCCGCGGUAAUACAAAGGGGGCUAGCGUUGUUCGAAUUCACUGGGCGUAAAGGGCGCGUAGGCGGUUAAUUUAUUCAAGGGGGAAAGCCCUUGGUUCACCACCGGAAUGGCCUUCAAUACUGAUUGCUUUGAGACCGGAGAAGAACACCGAACCUGCAAGUGUAGAGGUGAAAUUCUUAGAUAUU